This 429-nucleotide ribosomal RNA is filed under the name uncultured bacterium. RNAcentral describes it as "bacterial SSU rRNA". It matches the Rfam family "Bacterial small subunit ribosomal RNA", at positions 355 to 775 of the family's 1533-position model. The record is from RNAcentral.
UGGGGAAUCUUGCGCAAUGGGCGAAAGCCUGACGCAGCGACGCCGCGUGCGGGAGGAAGCUCUUCGGGGUGUAAACCGCUGUCAGAGGGGAAGAACUGUCACACGAGGAAAUGCGUGUGACUUGACGGUACCCUCAGAGGAAGCACCGGCUAACUCUGUGCCAGCAGCCGCGGUAAUACAGAGGGUGCGAGCGUUGUUCGGAAUUACUGGGCGUAAAGCGCGCGCAGGCGGCCACUUAAGUCCGUAGGUGAAAGACCGGGGCUCAACCCCGUGUCAGCCAUGGAUACUGGGCGGCUGGAGACAGGUAGAGGCAAGCGGAAUUCCGGGUGUAGCGGUGGAAUGCGUAGAUAUCCGGAAGAACACCGGAGGCGAAGGCGGCUUGCUGGACCUGGUCUGACGCUGAGGCGCGAAAGCGUGGGGAGCGAACAG